CCUACGGGAGGCAGCAGUGGGGAAUCUUGCGCAAUGGGGGAAACCCUGACGCAGCGACGCCGCGUGCGGGAGGACGGCCUUCGGGUUGUAAACCGCUGUUGCCCAGGACGAAUGGCCCUUUCGAGGGCAGUGACGGUACUGGGUGAGGAAGCACCGGCUAACUCCGUGCCAGCAGCCGCGGUAAUACGGAGGGUGCGAGCGUUGUCCGGAAUCACUGGGCGUAAAGGGCGCGUAGGCGGCCUGCGGCAGUCGGGGGUGAAAGUCCGGGGCUCAACCCUGGAUCGGCCUCACGAGACGCGUGGGCUUGGAGCACAGUAGAGGCGGGUGGAAUUCCGGGUGUAGCGGUGGAAUGCGUAGAGAUCCGGAAGAACACCGGUGGCGAAGGCGGCCCGCUGGGCUGUGGCUGACGCUGAGGCGCGACAGCGUGGGGAGCAAACAGG
Molecule: ribosomal RNA, 440 nt
Filed under: uncultured bacterium
Lineage: Bacteria
Description: bacterial SSU rRNA
Rfam family: Bacterial small subunit ribosomal RNA
Source: RNAcentral